Molecule: long non-coding RNA, 299 nt
Organism: Carassius auratus (goldfish)
Lineage: Eukaryota; Metazoa; Chordata; Actinopteri; Cypriniformes; Cyprinidae
Exons: 3
Source: RefSeq, a predicted model, not a curated record
AUAACCACCUACAACUGAAGACAUUCAUUUUCAUUAAGAAACUAAAAUGGCUUUCAGGAGAGAUCGAAAUAUUAGAGAUAUUUACGAGGAACGGUUUCCUCCUGAAAGAGGGGGUCCAUAUCCAAGAGGAGCUCGAGGGGACAGGAGACCUCCCUUUGGGCGGCCAGACGAGGAUUAUGGCCGUGGUUUUGAAUACGAUGGACCUCGGUUUAAUCCAAACAGUGCUCCUCGCAACUACCAUGGAGAGGAUCAGAGAGGAUAUCAUGGAGACAGCCAUCACUCAUUUCCAAAUGAGCACA